UUUUAGGAAAAGUGAAACUGCCGCCGGUGCUCUAUUCUAUAUAAUCGUGUUCGUGGGUUAACUUCUAUUGUCACUACCUUAAGCUAUUCCGUUGAAGGUCGAAUCGAAAGGGGCGAUGAUCAUAAUGAGAGAGCUAUAGUAGGAAAUACCAAUUCCAAUCCCAUCUCAAAAUCAAGAAAAGAAGAAAAAAAAUUUAGGUCUGAAUUUGAAGGUGUCGCCAUCCCUUUUCAUCGAAGGGGUUUGGCUUUGGUAUCUGAUAUUCUGCCCUCUUUUUUUUCUCCUCUUCAUCUUUCUGUCCCUUCAAAUUGAAUUGGGUUUUUUCCUACUAUGAUAGAUCUUUCGAAAUUUACACUUGAUAUGAGCCCCGAAUUUUUGCGAAUUCUUGAUUCUCACGAAAUUUAUUUUUUGUUUAAGAUCUAUUGUCGGUUUUUUGCACUUAUUUGAUUUUUGGAUGGGGAAACAGAUGCAUGUUGUUUUCUCGUUGAAGAAUCGAUGCGUAUAUAAAAAGCUUGAUUAACAUGUUUUUCAGAAAUUGGGUGAUUUUGUUGUAAUUGAGAAGCGGUCAGACAACCGUAGGGAUGGAAUCCAUAGAUGCUGAGUUUUUUUUCCGACUGUGAUAGAUCUUUCAAAUUGUACACUUAAUAUGAGCCCCGAAACUUUUCAUUUUCUUUACGAAUGUUGAUUUUUAUGAAACUUGUUUUUGCUAUCGGUCUUGAUUCGAAACUAUGCUUUGGCGGAUAAAUGUGUGUCCCUGGUAAUGGUAUUGGUGGGCUAUCGGUUUUGAUUUGAAACUAUGCAUUGGUGGAUAAAUGUGUGUACAUAGUAUUGGUAUUGGUGGGCUAUCACUCUUGAUUCGAAACUAUGCGUUGGCGGAUAAAUGCGUGUACCUAGUAUUGGUAUUGGUGGGCAAUCAAUCUUGAUUUGAAUGCGUUGGCGGAUAAAUGUGUGUACCUGGUAUUGAUAGGCUAUCGGUCUUGUUUCAAAACUAUGCGUUGGCGGAUAAAUGUGUGUACCUGGUAUUGGUAUUUGUGGGCUAUCGGUCUUGAUUCGAAACUAUGCAUUGACAGAUAAAUGUGUGUACCUGGUGUUGGCAUUGGUGGGCUAUUGGUCUUGAUUCUUAAACUAUGCUUUGUCGAAUAAAUAUGUGUACCUGGUAUUGGUAUUGGUGGGUUGUUGGUAAUUGGCUUGGAAUUUCCACGAUAUUUCAAAGAGAGUAGUUGGUAUGCUGGAAAUCAUAUCUCACCAUUUUUAUGGUAUGCUAUUUUUUCAUACAUAUGGUAUAUUGUUAGUAAUUGGCUCGGAAUCUCCACGAUAUUUCUAAGAGAGUAAUUGGUAUACUGGAAAUCAUAUCUCACCAUUUUUAUGGUGUGCUAUUUUUUCAUGCAUAUGGUAUAUUGUUAGUAAUUGACUCGGAAUCUCCACGAUAUUUCAAAGAGAGUAGUUGGUAUAUUGGAAAUCAUAUCUCACCAUUUUUAUGGUGUGCUAUUUUUUUAUGCAUAUGGUAUGUUGUUAGUAAUUGGCUCGGAAUCUCCACGAUAUUUCAAAGAGAGUAGUUGGUAUACUAGAAAUCAUAUCUCACCAUUUUUAUGGUGUGCUAUUUUGUCUGGAAAUCAAAUAUCAAUAUCAAAAUAAAAUAAAAACAAAAUUAAUGGUCAGAAUUUGAAGGUGCCGCCAUCCCUUUUCAUCGAAGGGGUUUGGCUUUGGUAUCUCAUAUUCUGCUGUCUUCUUUUUCCUCUUCAUCUUUCCGUCCCUUCAAAUUGAUUUGGGUUUUUUUCCUACUGCAAUAGAUCUUUUCAAAUUUACACUUGAUAUGAGCCCCGAAACUUUUCAUUUACUUUAUGAAUUCUUGAAUUUUAUGAAAUUUGUUUCUUCUUUUAGAUCUUUUGACCUUUUUUCGCACUUAUUUGAUUUUUGGAUGGGGAAACAGUUGCAUGUUGUUUUCUUGUUGAAGAAUCCGUGCGUAUAUAAAAAGCUUAAUUAUAGCAACUGCUUGUUUAUGAUAAACAUGUAUUCAGAAAUUUGGUAGUUUUGUUGUAAUUGAGCAGCGGCCAGACAACCGUAGGGAUGGAAUCCACAGAUGCUGAGUUUAUUUGUCUCAUCAUUCUACUAAUUCCAUCUCACAUUUUCUUAUGCUCAGCUUAAAUUCAGUAAUAAAGAAAUUUAAAUAUGUACAUAUAUUAGAUUGAUAUAUGAAAAAAACCAUAAUUUCACAAAAUUGAAUAAUCAGAAAAAUGAAGUACCACAACUAUAGUACAUGGUAUAUGAUAAAUGUGUGUAACUGAUGUUGGAAUUGGGGGCUAUCGGUCUUGAUUCGAAACUAUGCGUUGGCGAGAUAAAUGUGUGUUAAACUAUGCGUUGUCGGAUAAAUGUGUGUAAAACUAUGCGUUGGCGGAUAAAUGUAUGUACUUGGUACUGGUAUUGGUGGGCUAUCGGUCUUGAUUCGAAACUAUGUGUUGGCGGGAUAAAUGUGUGUAAAACUAUGCGUUGGUGGAUAAAUGUGUGUAAAACUAUGUGUUGGCGGAUAGAUGUGUGUACCUGGUACUGGUAUUGGUGGGCUAUCGGUCUUGAUUCAAAACUAUGCUUUGGCGGAUAAAUGUGUGUCCCUGGUAUUGGCGGGCUAUCAGUCUUGAUUCGAAACUAUGUGUUGGCGGAUAAAUUUUUAUACCUGGUACUGGUAUUGGUGUGCUAUCGGUCUUGAUUAAAAACUAUGUGUUGGCGGAUAAAUGUGUGUACCUAGUAUUGGUAUUGGCGGGCUAUCGAUCUUGAUUCGAAACUAUGUGUUGACCGAUAAAUGUGUGUACUUGGUAUUGGUUAUCGGUCUUGAUUCGAAACUAUGUGUUGUCGGGUGUGGUAUACUGGAAAUCAUAUCUCACCAUUUUUAUGGUGUCCUAUUUUUUUAAGCAUAUGGUAUAUUGUUGGCAGUUGGCUCGGAAUUUCCACGAUAUUUCAAAGAGAGUAGUUGGUAUACUUGAAAUCAUAUCUCACCUUUUUUUAUGGUGUCCUAUUUUGUCAUGCAUAUGGUAUAUUAUUGGUAGUUGGCUUGGAAUUUCCACGAUAUUUCAAAGAGAGUAGUUGGUUUACUAGAAAUCAUAUCUCACAUUUUUUAUGGUGUCCUAUUUUUUCAUGCAUGUGGUAUAUGGUUUGUAAUUGGCUCGUAAUUUCCAUGAUAUUUCAAAGUGAGUAGUGGUAUAUUUGAAAUCAUAUCUCACCUUUUUUAUGGUAUCCUAUUUUUUCAUGCAUAUGGUAUAUUGUUAGUAAUUGGCUCGGAGUUUCCACGACGAAAAAGUAUUCAAACAACAAGUAUCUCAUAGAGGAGAAAAUGCUCUGGAAUUGGAUAAAUUACACAUCUAAUUGGUUAGUAGGCUGUGUGGCUCAAUGUUAAAUGUGCCCGGAAAUUAUGCUUUGGGUGUAAUGACUGAAGUGGACCCCAAGGCGGUGUAGGUUUGGUGUUCCUAGCUGUAUAUUUGGAGCUAUCUUUGCAGGGUGGAUCAACUGCUGACUGACUGUUUUAUAAUAAUGUUUUCACAUUUCAUUUUUUUUCCAGAAUUGGAUCAACUGCUGACUGACUGUUUCACAGUAAUGUUUUCGCAUUUCAUUUUGUUCCAGAAUUUGGAUUGUCAUAGUGUUGAUUAAGUAUAUGAUGGAACCAGUUUGUUUGGCAUGGAUAUUGGUAGAGUCAUCAGAUAAGCCUAGGCAUUUGAUCUUUUGCAGCUGAUGGGAUCUAUGGGUACUUUAAUUUGGUCGGAUAGUGGAUGAACUAUGCUUUGUGGAUCAGUCUGUUUUGAUUGUCAUUAUAACUGGAUCAGAAAAUCGGUAGUUGACUCUCGCUGUGUUAGAGCAUCCAGACAGCAUUGUACAGUGCUUUUAGUCCUGCGUGGUAAUGGUGGUUUAACCUGACUGGAGCAAUUUUGCUUUGAAGCAAAACUGUCCCGCGCAGGCUCGCAUUUUGAUUUUUGUGCAGCCGUGUACUUGUCAAUAGAUUGGGAUGAUUUUGGUGUUACAAUGGGAAAGCUUGGCACAUUUGGAGCGGUUCACCGCUAGAAUCGAUAACGGCAGAGUAUUUUCUAGGAUAGUCAGCAUAAUUUGGUUCACUUCCUAGGGAUCCUAAAGAAUUAAAGUGAUCUCUUGUACAGAAAGAUGUUACACGGCAGUUUUGGAACUGCUAUUAUUGUCUGAGCUGGAUAAAACUAAAGAUUAAGACAUUGUUUAUUUCCACUUUCUAAUCAGAGGCUGGAUGGUCAAGAACAUUAAGGAAAUUGUGUGAGCUGUGUUGGUCUUGGAAUAUCAUUCCUGGCACACUAUGCCGAUCACCACUGAAAAUCUGUGAAUAAAAUAUUUUCCUAGCUCAUUGACGAAGAAAGCCUUCACGUGGUUUACCACUCUUCCCCCAAAUUCCAUCUUCAUAUGGAAUCAAUUGGAGAAAGUAUUCCACGAACAACUCUAUAUGGGAUAGUCGAAGGUUACUCUCAAAGAAUUGGCCAGUGUUAGGCGAAAGGUGGCUGAAAAUAAUUAUGAUUACCUAAAUAGGUUUAGAACUUUUAAAUCAUGGUGUUUCACCAAGUACCAGAGCACAAGUUAGUCAAACUAGCAGCAGGGGGUCUCGAUUAUUCCAUUAGGAAGAAAUCGGAUAUCCAAUACCUAAUGUACAUGGCCCAAUUGGCCGACAAAGUUCCACAAACCAAAUAAUUAAAGGCUUAGAAGGUCAGAACGGCAAAGUUUAGUAAAAAGAAAGUAGCUUAUGGCGAGAUAGACAAUGCAGAAAAUGCUUAUGGCGAGAUAGACAACGCAGAAAAUGCUUUUCACUCAAAUUAUGAGUACGUCGAAGAUGGCUGAUGUCAAAACCAUACCGGAACUUAUGGAAGAGGAGGCUCGGAGGCAAGAUAAACUCGCGUCCACUUUGACCAACAUUAUUCAAGUGAAAAACAAGCACUUAUCUGAGAUUGAAGCAAGAUGCACCCAGACUACGGAAAAUGUGAAUUCUGCUAUGACAGAAAACGAUUUACUCAUUCAAUCUUAUAAUAAAGAAAAUACAGGCAAGUGCUAAGGAUCACUUCCAAAGGAUUUUUAAUGAUCACGAAAAGCUUAAAUCGCAACUGGAAUCUCAGAAAAGUGAGCUUGAAUUGCGGAGAAUUGCUUUGGAAAAACGUGAAGCACAUAAUGAAAGUGAAAGAAAAAAGUUGACACUGUGCCAAUCCUUGAAGCUAUGAAGCAAAGAUAUAAUGAGGAGGAAGCCGAAGACAGCUACAGAACUAUGUUCAUUGUGGGAAGAGUAUCUAAAAGACCCAGAUUGGCAUCCGUUCAAAGUUGUCAUGAUUGACGGGAAAGAAAGAGUUUCUUUCUUCUUUUCUUCUAAUGAAGAAGUGAGGAUCCUAAAACAACCCAUAAGAUCAAAAAGAAGCAAGAUGUUACUUUCUAUGAGUAAGAGCAUUUUGCGCAUGAAGCUUAUGCGUCACCUCGUGUCAAGGUCACUGCCAAACCCAUUCUAUUUGUCAGGAACUCUAAUCUGUUUUAGUUCGGUUUAGAUCAGUGGCCCCUAUUAGGGAUGUUGCUUUUGUUUUGUGUUUUGUUAUUUCACCUUUCAUUUUUUGACGCUGUUAUAUUCAAUUUAUGUCUAAGAUGUGUUCAUAAUCCCUAGGGAAUGAGACUAACAAGUAUGGAGCUAUUGUUAGUAGUCUCAUUUUCUCUGUUAUCUCGGGUUAUCCUUAUAACAUUCAAGAAACUCAAGGAUUAAAACUGUUUAAAUUGGCCAGUUGUGUUGAAUGAGAGCAAGUAGACUGUUAAUUAAUCUCUAUAUUACAUACAAUCCAUGAGUCUUUUCACUUGUAUACAACUUGCUAUAAUAUUUGGAAAAAAUGACAAUGUAUAUUUUAGUGAUAUUCAAACCUUUAUGAUGUUUUUCAUAAUUUGGCCACCUUUUUUAUGACAGAUGAUAACAUCAUAUUUUAUGUUAAUCGAACAGGUUUCAGUUUCUUGUUACUAAUGAUGAUUCAAAGAAUAUGAUUGAGAAAUUAGAUAGUGUCGACAUAAUUUAUGUCUUUUUGGCCUUCAUAAGAAUUAUGAGUUAGUUCAAAGUCAUAUCCUUUUUUGAGCUUGAGAUUCAACUAACCUCACACAUAUUGUUGUUUUGCUUUUGAUUUUACACCUCGUGGAGGAGGUCAAGAAAUUUGUAGUGGAGGAUGUCCUAAGUGAAUUUGUUGCAAUGGUUUGGUCAUACUGAUUAUAAGUGUUACUCUUAUUGGCUUCCUAUAAACACUAGUAAAUCUGACUUUACCUACUCAUUUGACUUGGCUUAAAUGACUAAAAAGGGGGGAAACUCGAAAUUCUUCCAUCGAUGUGUAAUGAAUAGAAGGAAGACAAAUGAGAUAUGUAGCUUGGAGUCUCGAGAUGCUUUGAUAACUAGGGUUCAAGAAAUAAAGCGGGGAAUAGAGCAGUUCUAAAUGAGUUUGAGUUUAGAAAUAUCAAAGCGGAGGAUAAUAUUGUGCUCAAAGGGGAAUUCUUAGAGGGAGAGAUUCGAAGGACAUUUUGGGAUUGUGACAGUUCGAAGAGUUCAGGUCCAAAGGUUCAGAUGAUGUAUCAUUUGGAUUUAUUAAAGAGUUCUGGGAGGUGAUUAAAAGUGACUUCAUUAGAUUAAUUGGAGAGAUUCAUAUGAAUGGGAGGAUAGUUCGUGGUGCGAAUAGCUCAUUCAUAACCUUAAUUCCAAGUUCUGUUAAUCUGGUAAAGUAUAAUGAGUUCCAACCUAUAUCUCGAAUUGGUUGUAUGUACAAAAUGUUGGCAAAAUUGUUUGCAAACAGACUAAAAAGGUGUUACAUAAGGUGAUUUUGGAAGCACAAUUUGCUCUUAUUGAGAAAAGGCAGAUGCUAGAUUGCAUUCUUAUAGCAAAUGAGUUGGUAGACAAUGCUAAGCGUAGGAAAAAAAGCUCUAAUUUUGAAGUCGAUUUUGAGAAAGCAUUCGACUCGGUGGACUGGAAAUAUCUGGAUUGUAUGAUGAUGAGAAUUUUAUUUAAUGAUAAAUAGAGGGGAUGGAUUGCAGAGUGUCUAUAAUCAGCGACGAUUUCGGUGUUGGUAAAUGGGAGACCAACUAAAGAAUUUGUAUUCGGAGUAGGUCUUAGGGAAGGGGACCCAUUGUCUUCGUUUUUUUUUCUGAUAGCGGCAGAGGGUCUGAAUCUAAUGAUGUCUAGAAAUUUAAAAAGAACCUUUUUGACAGAUAUCAGUUUGGAAAUGGCGAGGUGAAGAUUUCAAUAUUCAAUACGCAGAUGACACAAUUAUAAUAUGUGAGAGAAGAUGGAAGAAUAUCUUGGCAGUUAAGGCAAUCUUGCAGUUAUUUGAAUUGGUGUCUGGGUCGAAAGUGAAUUUUCUCAAGAGUUCGUUAACUGGGGUUAAUUUAAACCAAUCUUGGCCGGAGGCAACCAUUGCUUUAAAUUUUAAAGUGGGGGAGUAAACUUUUAGUAUUUAGGGCUGCCGGUGGGAAGCAAUCAUCGGAGGGAACGAGAGUGGAAACCUGUGGUGGAAACAGUUCAAAAUAGGUUGUCUUCAUGGAACAAUAAACAUAUUUCAGUGGGUGGCCGUAUUAUCCUACUGAAAGCUGUCUUGUAUGCCUUACCGGUAUACUAUCUUUCUUUCUUCAAAGCUCCGACAUGUAUUAUCGUUAUGCUAGAAUCUACUUUUAAAAUUUUUCUGUAGGGUGAAGGGAUAGAAAGUGGAGAAAGAUGAUUUUGCUAUUAUUGAUGAGGUGCAGUUGACUUCUUGGAGGUGGCUUAAAUGUAAAGUUGGUGAAUUCAACUACUCUCUCAAUCAAUGGAUAUCAAAUCCAAGGGAAUGUCUAAGGUGUUAGUGGCGUUUGCGAGAUUGGGUGGUGAGAAGGUGUUGCAGUUAUUUUGCUGAACCUGGGAGCUGUGAAGGCUCAAAUUUAGCAUAAUUUGGAUUUUGCAGGUUUGGAGAAAGUGUUGAGGCAGAUGGUCCAUCAGUUUUCUGUUUUAUGUUCCGGUUGGAUAUUCGAGUAAGUAGCGGAGAAUCUAGAGUUUCACUGCAGUGAUGUGAUGGUUUUUGAGUUCGCAGGUCUGGUUGUUGUUUUAGUUUGAGUAGCGUAUCUCUAAGGAUUCGGUUGCAGGGUGUGGUGUAGGUUACUGUUAGGGAGAGGGUCCUGGUUUUUUGCCUCUGUUUUAUUCCAGUGUUGCAUUCUUAUAGUUUUGGUCAGUUGUUUUGGGUCUACUGUACUUGUCAAUAGCUUGGGAUGAUUUGGUGUUACAGUGGGAAAGCUUGGCACAUUUGGAGCGGUUCACCGCUAGAAUCAAUAACGAAAGAGUAUUUUCUAGGAUAGUCAGCAUAAUUUGGUUCAGUUCCAAGGGAUCCUAAAGAAUUAAAGUGAACUCUUGUACAAAAAGAUGUUGCACGACAGUUUUGGAACUGCUAUUAUUGUUGAGCAAUAUGGAUUCAGUUGAAUGGCAUUGUUUAUUUCUACUUUCCAAUAAGAGGCUUGGAUGGUCAAGAACAUUAAGGAAAUUGUGAGCUGUGUUGGUUUUGGAAUAUCAGUCCUGGCAUAUUAUGCCAAUCACCAAUCAAGAGGUUUUGCAGAAUUAAUAAUUAAUGUGAUACUGGUUUGCUGGUUUUAGUCUAGGUGGUGUCAGGUUGCUUUCUUGCUGCCUUGGGAUCUAUUUUAGUUAUAAAUAAAUAACUUCUUAGGCUUUUAAAUUUUUUUACUUCAAAUGUAAGAAGUGCUUUAAAUAGUAAUCAAUACUAAGAAAGAUUGCAGGUUAGCAUUGAUCCUAGAAAUUAGUUAGAUUGUGUGAUUAUUGAAAUAGAGAUUGCUUGAUUUAAAAGAUUUGGUAUAUAAGUGUAAUUGAAUGUUAAAUCAAAAUCAAGUAAAAUUGGGUUAAUUUUUUUAAUGUUUAAGACUAGAUUUGUAGGAAUGAUUAAGAUUUGGAAGUAAAGUCAUAAACAUUGAGGACAAAAAUUAAAAUGUGAGAAACGUAAAUGUGCUUAAUUUAAAUGUGCAAAAAAUUUAAUUUUCUCGUUGGUUUGGCGUUUAUGCUUAAGAACUUAGAAAUUCUAGUAUAGUUUCUAUGUCAUUUUGCUGUGAAUAUAAGAAGUUAAAAAUUUUAGAAUUUAAGAAGUUAGAAAUUCUAGCUGUUUAGAAUAAAAAACCCAGGUUUCAAUGCUUAGUUGUAAUGGAAAGUUUUAGCAUUCUUAAUUUUUGGUCCCCACAAUAGAUACAUGAUAUUUUUAAGUGUUUUAGGAUAGUAUGAGUUACAGAAUUUUACUGAGCCUUUUUAAAUUUCCCCCCUAAUGUCUCUCAUUCACAAUAAUUUAUAUAUUGGUUCAGCAUUGAAAAGCAAUGAAAGGCACUACAAACAGCUAUAUUUGGUUUACUUUAUCGUAUUUAUAGUCAUAGCCUUAUCAUGUGAGAAAGAUUGUGUAGUACAAAGCAGAGGGAUUUGGUUAUAUAUUUUUAUUUGCACAACUAUGCAUAUGGAUAUGGAUGCUGAUUAGUGUUAAUAUUGAAAUGGGAUAUUUAUCAAAUUGAAGCUAUAUAUGCUACUACUACACUGAUACUGGGAAAACGAAAAUUCCCUUACUUUAUGUACAUUUUUGCUUUAGUUGCUAUCAUGGAAAUAUAUAUUUCAUAUAUAAUCAGACCUUGUGCAACUUAUUCACUAGAUUUUCUGUCAAAAUUUAUCAACCAGGUAUUAGGCAACACGAAAUAUGAUGUACUUGUUAUUUCAAUACUGAGGCUCAUGUAGAAUUUUGCAAAGCACUGUUGUGUUUAUGUUUUUCUAAGUUUGCGAGUCUUGCAGAGUUUGUUCAAGUCGCCCUGGUGUGCAGAGUCUAUUCGGAGUUAUUUUCGGUGCAAGUUAUUUUAGUCUAGGUGUUUUUUGCAUUGCUCUGUCUGAAAUGAUAAGCAUUUUUAUUGUCAUGAUGUAUUGAAUUGAUUACCAGUUAGAGCUAAAUGUAUUGGACUUGGUAGUACUAAAUUAAUAUUUUUGGCUUUUAAAAAAAUCAAACAUAUAAUUAAAUUUCAAAACAAUUACUCUGAAUCAAGUAUUGCAGGUUUUUCAAGUAGCUUUUCAGCAAAAUGCAGAAAACAAUUGAGGUAGAAAAUUUAAAUUUAAAAUGUUGCAUGAUUAGAGAAAUUUGAAAAACUAGACUUUUGUAAUAUUAAUGUAUGGUUUGCUUAUCUUAGACUAGAUAUAUAUUGUAGUUCAUUGAGUGCUAGGUAAAAUUGUAUGAUGCUUGAGAUGGAGUCAAAUUGACAAAGAAGAUGCUAAUAGUUAAAAAUAAAAAUUAUAGUUUAUAUAAUUAAAUUAGUAAAAGUAUUUGUUUUAUGACCAAAAUAAAAUUAUUUCUUUUAAUUUAAUUAAUUCAAUAACUUAAAAUUAUUGCAUGUUUUUAAGAUGUAACCGAACGUGUUUUUAACAACUCCAACUUUUUA
This is a long non-coding RNA of Vicia villosa (hairy vetch), 10425 nucleotides long. RefSeq lists it as uncharacterized. The transcript has 3 exons. The record is from RefSeq and is a predicted model, not a curated record. NCBI's taxonomy places the organism in Eukaryota, Viridiplantae, Streptophyta, Magnoliopsida, Fabales, Fabaceae.